AUUUAUUAAGUCGGGCCUGCUCAGUGGUUAAUAACUAAAUAGCCGCAGUAUUUUGACUGUGCAAAGGUAGCAUAAUCAUUUGUCUUUUAAUUGAAGGCUUGUAUGAAUGGUUUGAUGGGGGAUAUCUUUCUUUAUAUCAAAAGUUUGAAUUUAACUUUUAAGUUAAAAGGCUUUAAAUUCUUUAAAGGGACGAGAAGACCCUAUAAAAUUUUACUUUAUUUGUAGGUAAUUUUAUUUAGGUUUUGGUUAAAAUUACCUAUAAAUAAAGUUUUGUUGGGGCGAUAGUGAAACUUAUUUAACUUUCAUUUUUUAUAUUAUAUUAAUUGAUAUUUUACUGAUCCUUUGAAUUAAGGAUAAAAAGAUUAAAUUACUUUAGGGAUAACAGCGUAAUUUUUCUGGAGAGUUCAUAUCUAUAGAAGAGUUUGCGACCUCGAUGUUGGAUUAAAUUAAGAUUUAAGUGCAGAAGCUUAAUUUCUAGGUCUGUUCGACCUUUAAAUAUUUACAUG
RNAcentral lists this ribosomal RNA (506 nucleotides) under Spermatodes variolosus. RNAcentral's name for it is "Spermatodes variolosa partial large subunit ribosomal RNA". It matches the Rfam family "Bacterial large subunit ribosomal RNA", at positions 1841 to 2602 of the family's 2925-position model. Lineage: Eukaryota; Metazoa; Arthropoda; Insecta; Hemiptera; Pentatomidae. The record is from RNAcentral.